Molecule: non-coding RNA, 135 nt
Organism: Triticum aestivum (bread wheat)
Lineage: Eukaryota; Viridiplantae; Streptophyta; Magnoliopsida; Poales; Poaceae
Source: Rfam
UUAAUACUCCCUCCGUCCUAAAAUUCUUAUCUUAGAUUUGUUUAAAUACGGAUGUAUUUAGUUACGUUUUAGUGUUAGAUAUAUUCAUAUCUAGACAAAUGUAAGAUGAGAAUUUUGAGACGGAGGAAGUGUAUU